AUCCAGAUGACGAGUCCCAAAUGGGACGAAACACAUCUAAUCCUGGAU
This 48-nucleotide non-coding RNA is filed under the name Trichobilharzia regenti. The record is from RNAcentral. Lineage: Eukaryota; Metazoa; Platyhelminthes; Trematoda; Strigeidida; Schistosomatidae.